CCUACGGGUGGCUGCAGUGAGGAAUAUUGGUCAAUGGGCGAGAGCCUGAACCAGCCAAGUCGCGUGAAGGAUGACGGCCCUACGGGUUGUAAACUUCUUUUGUCAGGGAGCAAUUGAGUCCACGUGUGGGCUUAGCGAGAGUACCUGAAGAAAAAGCAUCGGCUAACUCCUUGCCAGCAGCCGCGGUAAUACGGAGGAUGCGAGCGUUAUCCGGAUUUAUUGGGUUUAAAGGGUGCGUAGGCGGAAUAUCAAGGCAGCGGUAAAAAUUUGGGGCUCAACCCCGUCGUGCCGUUGAAACGGAUGGUUGUGAGUGGGCGAGAAGGAUGCGGAAUGCGUGGUGUAGGGGUGAAAUGCAUAGAUAUCACGCAGAACUCCGAUUGCGAAGGCAGCAUACCGGCGCCCAACUGACGCUGAAGCACGAAAGCGUGGGUAUCGAACAGGAUUAGAUAACCUAGUAGUC
Molecule: ribosomal RNA, 460 nt
Filed under: uncultured bacterium
Lineage: Bacteria
Description: partial 16S ribosomal RNA
Rfam family: Bacterial small subunit ribosomal RNA
Source: RNAcentral